Molecule: ribosomal RNA, 119 nt
Filed under: Pelobates cultripes (western spadefoot toad)
Lineage: Eukaryota; Metazoa; Chordata; Amphibia; Anura; Pelobatidae
Source: RNAcentral
GCCUACGGCCCUACCAGUCUGAAAGUGCCUGAUCUCGUCAGAUAUCAAAAGUCAUGCAGACUUGGGCCUACUUAGUACUUGUAUGGGAGAACAACUAGGAACCUCAGGUGCCGUAAGCU